UAUCUUUGCAGCUUGAUUCGAAGUAAUCACAUACAUAAAAAUUAUUAAAAAUUAAUGUUAGCAUG
Lutibacter sp. is the source of this 65-nucleotide regulatory RNA element. It matches the Rfam family "S15-Flavobacteria ribosomal protein leader". The record is from Rfam. NCBI's taxonomy places the organism in Bacteria, Pseudomonadati, Bacteroidota, Flavobacteriia, Flavobacteriales, Flavobacteriaceae.